UUAUAUGUUUGUAUGUUUGUUUCAGAACUAGGCUAGGCUUAAAUGCAAUUGGCCCAGAAGCUCAGAUUAGGGCUAUUAGUUUGUCAUUUUCAAUCUCUUUUUCACUUUCUCUCAUUCGCAUCUAGGGUUACAGCCGCCACCACCAUCCUUAAUUCCUCUUCGUCAUUCCAUUCAAUGUCGCUCGAAGCUUCAAGCUACCACCAUCGUUCUCAUCGUCAUCCAUGAUCCUCUUCUAGGGUGGUUUGUGAAGUUGCUAAGGAGUUAUGAUCAGCUGAGAUUACUUCACAAUUUUAAGAGGCGUUCAACUGAUUGGAAGUUACGAGAGGUGGUUCUACCACUAAUAAUGUUUAUUUUCAGGUGUUCAACGGAUUCGAAGCUACGAGAUCUGGUUCUACCACUGAUGAAACAGAAUCCUACCACAUGUUAAUUUUUGUUGAUUUUUAAUUUUAAGGUUUAUUUUUGUUGAUUCUUAAUUUUAAGGGUUGUUAGAUAGGGUUUAGUUAACUAUAAAAGUGAUAUAGGGUUUGAGGUUUUUGGAUUUGUGUUGUUAGUG
Vicia villosa (hairy vetch) is the source of this 553-nucleotide long non-coding RNA. RefSeq lists it as uncharacterized. The transcript has 3 exons. The record is from RefSeq and is a predicted model, not a curated record. Lineage: Eukaryota; Viridiplantae; Streptophyta; Magnoliopsida; Fabales; Fabaceae.